AGAGUUUGAUCCUGGCUCAGGAUGAACGCUAGCGGCAGGCUUAACACAUGCAAGUCGAGGGGUAACAGAGGUAGCUUGCUACUUGCUGACGACCGGCGCACGGGUGAGUAACGCGUAUGCAACCUACCUUUUACAGGGGGAUAGCCAGAAGAAAUUCUGAUUAAUACCCCAUAAUAUUAUAGAUCGGCAUUGAUUUAUGAUUAAAGUUUCGGCGGUAAGAGAUGGGCAUGCGUUUUAUUAGUUAGUUGGUAAGGUAACGGCUUACCAAGACUACGAUAAAUAGGGGUCCUGAGAGGGAGAUCCCCCACACUGGUACUGAGACACGGUCCAGACACCUACGGGUGGCAGCAGUAGGGAAUAUUGCGCAAUGAACGAAAGUUUGACGCAGCCAUGCCGCGUGGAUGAUGAAGGCCUUCGGGUCGUAAAGUCCUUUUCUGAGGGAAGAACAAGCAGGGGAGUGGAAAGCCCCUGCCCUGACGGUACCUCAGGAAUAAGCAACGCCUAACUCCGUGCCAGCAGCCGCGGUAAUACGGAGGUUGCAAGCGUUGUUCGGAUUUACUGGGCGUAAAGGGAGCGCAUGCGGCUAGGUCAGUCUGAAGUGAAAGUCCGGUGCUCAACCUCGGAAGGGCUUCCGAUACUACCUAGCUUGAGUACUUGAGAGGUGAGCGGAAUUCCCGGUGAAGCGGUGAAAUGCGUAGA
This 699-nucleotide ribosomal RNA is filed under the name uncultured bacterium. RNAcentral describes it as "bacterial SSU rRNA". It matches the Rfam family "Bacterial small subunit ribosomal RNA", at positions 8 to 694 of the family's 1533-position model. The record is from RNAcentral.